Molecule: ribosomal RNA, 460 nt
Filed under: uncultured bacterium
Lineage: Bacteria
Description: partial 16S ribosomal RNA
Rfam family: Bacterial small subunit ribosomal RNA
Source: RNAcentral
CCUACGGGAGGCAGCAGUGAGGAAUAUUGGUCAAUGGACGCAAGUCUGAACCAGCCAUGCCGCGUGCAGGAAGACGGCUCUAUGAAUUGUAAACUGCUUUUGUCAGGGGGUAAAUCCCGGUACGUGUGUCUGGUUGAGAGUAUCUUACGAAUAAGGAUCGGCUAACUCCGUGCCAGCAGCCGCGGUAAAACGGAGGAUUCAAGCGUUAUUCGGAUUUAUUGGGGUUAAAGGGGUAGUAGGGGGGUCGAUAAGUUCGGGGUGAAAUCCCGGGGCCCAACCCCGGCACUGCCUGUGAUACUGGCGGGCUAGAGUUGAGUUGAGGUAGGCGGAAUGUACGGUGUAGCGGUGAAAUGCAUAGAGAUCAUACAGAACUCCGAUUGCGAAGGCAGCAUACCAAACUACGACUGACGCUGAGGCACGAAAGCGUGGGUAGCAAACAGGAUUAGAUACCCCUGUAGUC